AAGUGAAGAGCUCUCUGAAGAAGGCUAAACAGGAAGACGUGAAGGCUCUAAUGACUGAGCUGAAUAAGAUCAUCGCGGAUAAGAAGGACAACGAGAAGUUUAUCACACUUCAGGAGUGGC
RNAcentral lists this non-coding RNA (120 nucleotides) under Lotharella oceanica. The record is from RNAcentral. Lineage: Eukaryota; Cercozoa; Chlorarachniophyceae.